This 229-nucleotide long non-coding RNA is filed under the name Lathyrus oleraceus (garden pea). RNAcentral's name for it is "Pisum sativum (pea) long non-coding RNA (PSAT_LNC016283)". Lineage: Eukaryota; Viridiplantae; Streptophyta; Magnoliopsida; Fabales; Fabaceae. The record is from RNAcentral.
UUUUCUAAACAAUUUGCAUAGAUCCAACACAAGAUUUUUAUUUCCCCUCAAGUCUCCCGCAGAUUUCAUUCAACAUUGAAUCUAGAGCAGUAUGUCUGGUCCUCUGUAAGGUUGUCUCCCAUUUUGAUAUGGUGUUGACCUAAAAUUCCCUGCAGAGUGGAUGGUGUAGACCUUCGGCAAAUCUUUUCCUUUUCCCCAGCCAGGUUUAAGCCUUUGAGAUGAAUGAUUU